UGGGGAAUUUUCCGCAAUGGGCGAAAGCCUGACGGAGCAACGCCGCGUGAGGGAUGAAGGCCUCUGGGCUGUAAACCUCUUUUAUCAAGGAAGAAGAUCUGACGGUACUUGAUGAAUAAGCCACGGCUAAUUCCGUGCCAGCAGCCGCGGUAAUACGGGAGUGGCAAGCGUUAUCCGGAAUUAUUGGGCGUAAAGCGUCCGCAGGCGGCCCUUCAAGUCUGCUGUUAAAAAGUGGAGCCUAACUCCAUCAUGGCAGUGGAAACUGAGGGGCUUGAGUGUGGUAGGGGCAGAGGGAAUUCCCGGUGUAGCGGUGAAAUGCGUAGAUAUCGGGAAGAACACCAGUGGCGAAGGCGCUCUGCUGGGCCAUCACUGACGCUCAUGGACGAAAGCCAGGGGAGCGAAAGGGAUUAGAUACCCCUGUAGUC
RNAcentral lists this ribosomal RNA (425 nucleotides) under uncultured Synechococcus sp. Its description in RNAcentral is "bacterial SSU rRNA". It matches the Rfam family "Bacterial small subunit ribosomal RNA", at positions 355 to 795 of the family's 1533-position model. The record is from RNAcentral. Lineage: Bacteria; Bacillati; Cyanobacteriota; Cyanophyceae; Synechococcales; Synechococcaceae.